This 253-nucleotide ribosomal RNA is filed under the name uncultured bacterium. RNAcentral's name for it is "partial 16S ribosomal RNA". It matches the Rfam family "Bacterial small subunit ribosomal RNA", at positions 524 to 776 of the family's 1533-position model. The record is from RNAcentral.
UACGUAGGUGGCAAGCGUUGUCCGGAAUUAUUGGGCGUAAAGCGCGCGCAGGCGGUCCUUUAAGUCGGAUGUGAAAGCCCCGGGCUCAACCCGGGAAGUGCUCUCGAUACUGUCGAGCUAGAGUAUCGGAGAGGUUGGUGGAAUUCUCGGUGUAGAGGUGAAAUUCGUAGAUAUCGAGAGGAACACCGGUGGCGAAGGCGGCCAACUGGACGAAUACUGACGCUGAGACUCGAAAGCGUGGGGAGCAAACAGG